This is a non-coding RNA of Arachis ipaensis, 361 nucleotides long. NCBI's taxonomy places the organism in Eukaryota, Viridiplantae, Streptophyta, Magnoliopsida, Fabales, Fabaceae. The record is from RefSeq and is a predicted model, not a curated record.
CUUUGGAUCAAGCUUGGUGGCUUCAUUUUGGUGUUUGGUGCGUUUGAAAAUCGGCCAAGAUGCAGGUCGUAAUUCACCUUGGUGAAAUUGUGAAUAAUCGGAUAUGGUGACAGAGCGGAGUAUGAUUCCUUCUUUAUUUAUUUCUGUUUUAAUUUUGUUGUAGUAUUCUCUCACCUCUUGUAUAUUUAUCUUUAUGGCCUUAAAGGCUUACUUGAGAGAUAAGUUGUAUAAGCUGUUUUAACUCUAAAACUCUGUAUUUUUCUGUUUGUAACUAGUCAGCUUAAACUCCGCAAGCCGCGGCUAGUUUCCUAUGAUUAUUAUAUUCUUAUAUCUAUAUCCGUUCUAUUCUUUUGCAUCUGUA